Non-coding RNA from Caenorhabditis elegans, 100 nucleotides. Lineage: Eukaryota; Metazoa; Nematoda; Chromadorea; Rhabditida; Rhabditidae. The record is from Ensembl.
UACACGUUUUCGUAUGUCAACAUCAGGCAACGAGCGCGCGCGAAAGCCUCUAAUUUUGUCGCCUCUGGGCGAUAAUUUGUAUUUCUCACACACGCGAUUA